GUUGAAUUGGCCUGAAGGUGGGGAAGGGCGUCCUGGGAGGAACCUGGGGGGGAGGUCGCCUCGUGUCCUCUGCCCUCUCGCCUUGUCUGUCUGGAAUUUGUUUGUCAUUUUCUCCCCUCCUAUGCCGCGAGGCCUCUGUGGCUCCCUCUUGUUUCUCCCAGCACCUAAUGUUAGAUGUACAGCCCGUCGUUGGUGCUUAAUUAGUAUAUGCAUUAAGGGAUAUUUAUGGAACAGCCGCAUGCAGUUAGCAUAAUUCAAACAGAUCUCCUAUAAACUCGGUCUGUACCAGUGGCUAAAAACUUACCGUGGAGACAAAGCAUACCUGUGUUUCUCUUAAUUUAUGUUCCAUUAUGUGUGCUUGGUUUAAAAAAAAAAAAAAAGAUUAUAAUAACAGCAAUGAUAAUUAAGGAAAAAAGAACAAGUGAAGUAAUUUAAGCAGCAUACGGAUUUAAGCUCCCCACUGUAGCCAGUGAGCACAUGCCCGGAGUGUGUACAAAAUGAAAGUGUUUGGGAAGUUAAAAACCCCCCUCUCCCGUUUCUCCUUCUUCUGAGGCAGGGCUGGGGAACAUCUGGCCCAUGGGCUGUACGAGGCCCAGGAAAUCAUUGGGUCUGGCCCUGCCAAGGCAUUAGGGGGGAGUAAAUGAAAUGUUUGACCCAACACAGCAGGCUAAUUUUUAAGUUGAUCAUUUUGUAUGGCCCGCGAAGGAUGUUACAAAUACCCAAAUGGCCCUUGGCAGGAAAAAGGUUCUCCACCCCUGUUCUAAGUGGACAUCUUGACCCGCUGAGCAUGACUUAGGUCUUCAGAGAUACAGAUGUUUCCUAGCCCCUUUGCCCAUCCCACAUGGGAACUGCAUCAUCAGGUCCCGAACUAAAAAUCCAAAAUACAAACUAGCCCUAUGCGGGACUCACUGAGAUAGACCGAAAGAAAAUGUCUGCCUAAAAAGGAUUUGCUAGUAUGUUGAGGGAUCUUUAGGGAUAAUCAUUCAUGAUAACUGCCCCCCCCCUCCCCUCCACUGGUCUUAGAACCUAGUGCCAUGUGUGAUGGGGUUCCGUCACGUCCUGUCCUCCUGUGUUGGGGAUGCUUUGGGGCACCAGGAAAGUAUGAGAAUCAUAGUUGCCUCCAGGAUCUGAUGCAUUUUAUAAAGAAGCAUCCUGGGUGGCGGGGAGUAGAGAGUAUUGGGAACUGGUUUGUGUGGCCUUGUAGGAUUCUGAGAAGGGCGUGUGACUUUUCUUUUAUUCUCUGGUUUUGAAACUCACACAAGGACAACGUGUGGCGUUCUCCACUGGCCAUUGUCACACAUCUCAUUCCGGGGUUGGACUCACGUCCUGCUGAGCUCUCAGUCCCCUCAGAAGCCCCGCCCAGUCUCUGGCACGUAGGAGAGGCUCCGUAAGCAUGAGGGGGCGAGCGACCAUAGGCCCCUGUGCGGCAGGGGAGAGACCUGAGCCGGGAGUGGGGUGCACAGGUUUUCGUCUCAUCUCACACUAAUGACCUGUCUGGCUUGGGCAGAGCUAAUUAACUUUUCUUUGUUUAUCUGUGAAAACACAGUAAGAUGUUUCUCCACCUCUCAUCUGGUGCCGGGGAAGGAUCAAAUGGCCUGAUGUACAGGAAAGGGCCCUGAGCAGAGUGAGCAGCAGCAGCUGCUGCUGUUACAGCUGCAGCGAAUGGGCUUGGCCGGGCAGCAGAGACGAGAGGCAGUGAGCCAAAGUGGGCUCUGCAGCAGGAGGGUCACAGGAAGAAGAAGACAGGAUUUGGAAACACUAUCCUGACAGCAACAGAGAAGGGAGGAGAAAGAACUUUGCAUUCGGGGUGAAUUUUCAGGAAACUUUUGUUUGCUUCAAAUAGUUUUAAGAAGUGGGUGAGCAUCCAGUUCUAGUUGGUAAUUGAACAAGGGCUUGUGUACUAAAAGGCGGAUUUUGAGCCGUAUUUAAAUGAUUGCCCAUCGACAAGGCCUAAUAAGUGCUAAGUGGUUGGGAACAAAGAACAGUAAGAUUUGGCCUCUACUUAGAAUAAUGAUAACAAGGGGAAGAGAGCCAGUAGAGAGAGACUGCUGAGAGAGUGCCGCCUGGGAUAGAGAGUUGCUUGGGCUGCCCCAGUGCAGAGCUGUGCUUUCAGGAAGUGUGGACGGGGGGAGUAUGAGGUCCAGGGGAGGACAGAGACUCGGGUAAGUUGGUGCAGAUCAGCUCAGAUGUCUUACAGGUUUGGGAGAGUUACUGCAGACUUUUUAAUGCAGGGGGGGUGGAAUGCUCACACUUCAGGGAAGCACGGAAUCUGCCUUCCUCCUUUUUCUCGAGUCAUUACUAAAUGGUGUUCCUUUUCUGAAUCGAGUGCCCUGAAGACAGACAGAUAGCGUGACUUUGCUACUUAUCAGUUAUGACUUACUCAGCGCCUGUUCCCCAUCCAUCCUUGGAACUCUGAGCCCCGCUCUAUGUUGUGGCCACAUCUCUUUCCUACAAAGGGAAAUUGACCAUGGGGUGGGUGUCAUUUGCAUAUGGACUUCUGAAAAGGGUACAUGUGAACUAGGGGUUAGAAAUCUGAUCAACAGUGGUCUGUUACUUAGAAACCGAACCCAGUACUAUAUUCAAUGAGGCAAUUUCAUUCAUAAGCAUGCAUUUCCCAUUUCCUUCCAAAAAGCAGACUAAG
Molecule: long non-coding RNA, 2641 nt
Organism: Pipistrellus kuhlii (Kuhl's pipistrelle)
Lineage: Eukaryota; Metazoa; Chordata; Mammalia; Chiroptera; Vespertilionidae
Exons: 2
Source: RefSeq, a predicted model, not a curated record